Molecule: ribosomal RNA, 462 nt
Filed under: uncultured bacterium
Lineage: Bacteria
Description: partial 16S ribosomal RNA
Rfam family: Bacterial small subunit ribosomal RNA
Source: RNAcentral
GACGAACGCUGGCGGCGUGCUUAACACAUGCAAGUCGAGCGGUAAGUCCUUUCGGGGUACACGAACGGCCAACGGGUGAGUAACACGAGGGUGAUCUGCCCUGCACUUUGCGAUAAGCCUGGGAACCUGGGCCUAAUACCGUAUAUGACCUCCUAUCUCAGGGGGGGUGUUGGAAAGUUGUAUCGGUGCAGGAUGGGCCCGUGGGCUAUCAUCCUGUUGGUUAGGUAAUGGACUACCAAGGCAACGACGGGAAGCCGACUUGAGAGGGUGACCGGCCACACGGGGACUGAGACACGGCCCGGACUCCUACGGGAGGCAGAAGUGGGGAAUAUUGCACGAUGGGGGAAAGCCUGAUGCAGCAACGCCGCGUGAGGGAUGAUGGCCUUCGGGUUGGAGACAUAUUUCAGCGGGGACGAAGCGUAAGUGACGGUACCUGCAGAAGAAGCACCGGCUAACUACGUG